This 516-nucleotide ribosomal RNA is filed under the name uncultured Glomus. Its description in RNAcentral is "SSU rRNA". It matches the Rfam family "Eukaryotic small subunit ribosomal RNA", at positions 569 to 1085 of the family's 1831-position model. The record is from RNAcentral. Lineage: Eukaryota; Fungi; Glomeromycota; Glomeromycetes; Glomerales; Glomeraceae.
AGCAGCCGCGGUAAUUCCAGCUCCAAUAGCGUAUAUUAAAGUUGUUGCAGUUAAAAAGCUCGUAGUUGAAUUUCGGGGUCAGUAGGCUGGUCGUGCCACAGGUAUGUACUGGUCUCACUGAUUCCUCCUUCCUGAUGAACCGUAAUGCCAUUAAUUUGGUGUUGCGGGGAAUCUGGACUGUUACUUUGAAAAAAUUAGAGUGUUUAAAGCAGGCUAACGCUUGAAUACAUUAGCAUGGAAUAAUGAAAUAGGACGUUCGAUCUUAUUUUGUUGGUUUCUAAGAUCGACGUAAUGAUUAAUAGGGAUAGUUGGGGGCAUUAGUAUUCAAUUGUCAGAGGUGAAAUUCUUGGAUUUAUUGAAGACUAACUACUGCGAAAGCAUUUGCCAAGGAUGUUUUCAUUAAUCAAGAGCGAAAGUUAGGGGAUCGAAGACGAUCAGAUACCGUCGUAGUCUUAACCAUAAACUAUGCCGACUAGGGAUCGGAUGAUGUUAAUUUUUUUAAUGACUCAUUCGGCG